AACAUCGCGCACCUGCGGGAACCUGCGGAGGGAUCAUUACCGAGUGAGGGCCCUCCGGGUCCAACCUCCCACCCGUGUUUAACGAACCUUGUUGUUUCGGCGGGCCCGCCUCACGGCCGCCGGGGGGCACCCCGCCCCCGGGCCCGCGCCCGCCGAAGACACCUGUGAACGCUGUCUGAAGUUGCAGUCUGAGACACUAGCUCAAUCAGUUAAAACUUUCAACAACGGAUCUCAGAUCGG
RNAcentral lists this unclassified non-coding RNA (240 nucleotides) under soil metagenome. RNAcentral describes it as "partial contains 5.8S ribosomal RNA, internal transcribed spacer 2, and large subunit ribosomal RNA". The record is from RNAcentral.